GAGUAAUUGUUGUUCAUGGGAUGGUGUUGAGUGUGAUGAAGACUUUGGCCAUGUUGUCGGCCUUGAUCUCCGUAGCAGCUGUCUCUACGGUUCUAUCAAUUCCAGCAACACUCUCUUCCGCCUUGUUCACUUGCAGUGGCUUGACCUCUCAGAUAAUCACUUCAAUUUCUCUCAAAUACCAUCAAGGUUCGGUGAUGAUCUUUCGAGUCUAACAUAUCUCAACCUUUCAAAUUCCUUGUUUUCCGGAGAAAUUCCACCAGAAAUUUCAAAGUUAUCGAAGCUGUCUACCCUUGAUCUGUCUUUCAAUGAUCUGAAAGUUGAUGAUGAUAGUUUCCCUUUGAAACUGACCAAGGGCAACAUGAGAAGCCUGGUUCAGAACUUGACCGCCAUAAAACAACUUCAUCUUAAUUGGGUAGAGAUGUACUCCACUGUGCCUGAUAUCUUGGUCAAUGCAUCUUCUCUCACAUCUCUCCAACUUCGCGGUUGUGGGUUGAAUGGGGAAUUCCCAAUUGGCAUUUUCCACCUACCAAACUUAGAGGUUCUCCAUCUGCUCUAUAACUCAAACCUCACCGGUUAUUUUCCUGACUUUAACAGGAGCAAUGCCCUCAAGAAAUUGAAUGUUGCCAACACGAAUUUCUCUGGCCAACUGCCUAACUCCCUCGGAAACCUUCAUUCCUUGAUUGUGUUUGUCAUCUCAUCGUGUAAUUUUCAUCCCAAUGUUCCAUCUUCACUCGGAAACCUUACCCAGCUCAACUACCUUGACAUGUUUUCAUUUAAUGACGUUUCCAAAGGCAAGAUGGGAGAAUUCCCAUCUUUUGUGUCUAACCUGACACAACUUGAAUUUCUAGACUUGUCCGAUACUGAAAUAUCUGGUCAAAUCCCAUCUUGGCUCAUGAAGUUGACCCAGUUAACCAGUCUAAGCCUUGACGAGAACAAUUUGCAAGGACCAAUUCCUAGGUCGCUCUUCCAACUCAAAAAUCUUGAAUAUCUUUCUCUUUCCGGUAAUAACUUGAGUGGGUUGGUUGAGUUUGAUCAGUUUUCCAAGCUCAAAAAGUUGAAGGACCUUGAUUUAUCGAACAACAUGUUAUCUGUGGAGAUCAGAAAUGAUUUAAGUGCUACUCUUCCAAAGCUUCAAACUCUAGCACUGGGCGCCUGCAACUUAACAGAGUUCCCAAAAUUUUUGAAAAAUCAAUCCGAAUUGACUAAGCUAGACCUUUCUGACAACUAUAUUCACGGCCCAAUACCGAAAUGGCUAUGGAAUGCAACUAUUGAAACUUUGUGGGGACUCCGUCUCUAUGACAACUUUUUGACAGGAUUUGACCAAGAUCCAGGCAUUCUCCGAUGGACAAAUCUGAACUAUCUGGCUCUUGGGUCUAACAUGUUACAAGGACCUCUGCCAAUUCCCCCGCAAUCAAUCAGAUUAUAUGAUGUCGAAAACAACGAAUAUACUGGAGAAAUUUCACCCCUGUUCUGCAACUUCAAUAAUCUCCAAGUUCUCAGGUUGUCCAACAACAGCCUCAGUGGCAUGCUUCCACAAUGUUUGGGUAACUCUAGUGUUUUGGAAAUAUUGGCCCUGCAUAACAAUUUUUUUAAUGGAUAUAUUCCUCCAAUAUGUCCAAGCAAAACUAGUCUGAGAAUUGUUGAUUUUAGUUAUAAUCAGUUGCAGGGGAAGCUACCAAGAGGGGUGAUGAAUUGUACUCAGUUAAAGGUUCUUAAUUUUGCAAACAAUCAGAUGAGUGACAUCUUCCCAUCUUGGUUAGGGGCACUUCCAGAAUUAAGGAUUCUCAUUUUGCGGUCCAAUGGAUUUCAUGGCGUAAUUGGGAAGCCUGCAACUAAACAUGAAUUCCCAAAUUUGCGCAUCAUUGACUUAUCUAACAAUGGUUUCUCAGGUAUGUUGCCCUCUAACUACUUAGAGAUCUGGAAUUCCAUGAAACAUGUUGAUGAAAACCGGCAAACUUAUUUUAGUGUAUAUACGGAUGACGUCGAUGGACGUUACUUUGGAAGUGAUUACGCAAUGACAAUAAGUGGUAAAGGUGUUCAGUUGAAAUAUGAAAGGACCCCUUAUCUUCUCACACUCGUAGAUCUGUCAAGUAAUAGAUUUGAAGGAGAGAUUCCAGAAGGUCCCGUUGGGAACCUAAGAGGCCUUGUUUUGCUGAACCUUUCCAACAACUCUCUCACUGGUCACAUCCCCUCAUCUUUAGGGGACUUGGCUGCUCUCGAAUCGUUAGAUCUCUCCCAGAACCAGCUCUCAGGAAGGAUCCCGAGUAAUUUAGAACAACUCACUUUCCUUGCAUAUUUUAAUGUAUCCCAUAACCAUCUCUCCGGGCCUAUACCACUUGGCAAACAAUUCGAUACAUUCCAGGAGGACUGGUACGAAGGAAACUCAGGUCUGUGUGGAAAGUCUCUGCCAAAGAAAUGUGAAGAUUCUGAGAUCUCAACGCGGCCACCAUCAUCAAUCGUGGGAGAAGAUGAAGACUCUGUAUUUCAAAUUGCACUAGAUUGGUACGUGGUUGUGCCAGGAGUUGUUAGUGGUCUGAUAGUUGGAGUGGUUGUUGGGAACAUAUGGACAACAAAGAAGCACGAAUGGUUUGUGGAGACAUUUAGCAGGAGGAGGAAGCCAAGAGGCACACAAGGGCUAGGAGGGGACGCAGAACUUAGCUCAAGGCCAUGUAUCUGUGUGUUAUGUAUGCGUGUUUGGUGUGUCCGUAAGGGAAGUAUUUGAGCCUUGAAAGAAUAUUAUGUUGUUGUUGUGUGAGGUUUCGUGGUACCAAUUGUGUAGUAUAUUUUGCAUAUGUGGUGGUGUAAGUUAUUUGUAGAUGUUCAAUAAUAUAUUUGUAAUGUAUUUCUCAACAAGUACUCAAAUAUGUCUUGAGAAUUUGAAAUGUGUUUGGUUUAAUAAAGUGGAUUGCAAGUUAUGUCUUGAGAAUUUCUUGAUUCUAGCUGAUUAAUUGCGAUUGUUUUUUUUAUGUAUUUAGAGACUAACAAACUAUUUUAGUAAUAAGCUAACCUAAGCUUAAUCUUUGGUUAGCCUUAAUGACUUAAAAGUCUACAUGGAGAGAGACUCUGAGCAAACGACUUGACUUCAAGCAAUUUCUGUUCACCUUCUCCGUUUAUUAAUUUUUGUAAUUUUCUCACUUCCAAAUAUUAAUUUUUAUAAAAGCGAGAAUGGAAUCGCGGUGGUCAAAGUUUAUUUCUGUACGUUAUUUGAUUUUGCUAUUACUCAUUGCUACUUACUGUAUUUUAUCUGUUCAGACUCAGACACUUGGCCAGGUUGAUGAGUGCUCUGCCUCGUUACAAUUCAAGAAAAGCUUUGCAAGCAAAAGUCUGUUCCGCUAUUAAGGUGGUUCGGAACAAAUGCUCUCUCUAAGAAAGGUAUUAGGUUUGAGUCUUAGCAUUAUGAGUAAAUUUAAUAUAUUAUCGCUCCUCUUAAUAUGAAAAGUUCUUAAAAAUACAUGAUCUAAAGCCAAACUCACAAAACCCAAAAGAACUAAAUUUCUAAAACAACUGAUGUGCCCGAAUAAUAAACCACUCAUUUAGCCUUAGAGAAAAUGUAGAACAUGAGGUAGAUUUAGUGGUGGAUCCAUGAUUUCAAAGAUGAUUAGGCAAAACUUACAUGCUAAACUCAACUGCACAAGUAAAUUUUAUUAAUGAACAUAAAAAAUACACCUAGUUAAGGGAUGUAAUUAACCUUACCUUCAAAUGCAGAAAAGUUGAUGCCUAAAGGUAGAGAGUAGGAGAGAUCAACUAGGCAGUUAUAACGUUUCUUUUAUUAUUAUUAUUUUUUGGGUUGGGAUAAAGAAAUGUACUUUUUGUGGUUGGAAAAUUUUGGGCCGGGCUGUAGCCUUGUCCGCCCUCCAUGUAGAACCAUCACUGGACAUAUUGCAAACAAAGAUGCCAAACUGACAUGACUCAGACCAAGUCACAACAAGAUUUUUUUCACUAACCUAAAAAAAUAAAAUGGAAAUAAAAGAGAGUGGAGGAGGGAAAUGCCCUCCUCUCCUCAGCAGGCAACACAUUUGGGUUCACAAAUUAUGUUCAAAGCGAUCAUGUUCGAUUAUAGUUUGACAGCAAUGUUUGUGGUUACAUGCAAAAGACUCUGACUGUGAAACAAUGUUUCCAGCAAAGAUAAAUAUCAAUCCUGCAGACGACUUGACUUCAAGUCUUGGAGUGAUUGAUCACCGCCCAUUUUCCUUGAUUAUUUUGCAUGAGCUGAAGGAGAUGGAUUUUGUACAACUGUAAGUAGUGUGCUGAUUAGUAUAGUCUAAGCCUGGAACGAUAAUUGUGCAUGCACUUAGUCUCUGAGAAUGACAGGUGUAAGGUUGAAAUAGCCACGUGUAGUGAUCCUAGAAUAGCUAGAUGUGUGGCUGAGAUUCAAUAUGUUGUGUGUGAAUCCAGCUGAGGCUAACGAUUAUGUAGUACACGCUUUGUGUUGCUCAUUCUGAUAGAAGAGAAAUAUAGUCAUCUCUGCGAUUUCUGCAAGAGAGAAACAUUUAAUCACUCUGCAUUUCUUCAUUCUUCUAUUUUUUCUCUUUCAAGGAAACUUCGUCGUUGCUCAGACCUCCCAAACAUGCUACCAUUCAAAAGGAUUUCCAAAUCCCAUGUCUGCCUGGGUUGCAAUCCUCUGUGUAACAAAUUACAAGCUGGGGAUGACAUUGACAUGUGAGUAAUUGGUUUUUUUUUCUUCUUCUUUUUUCGAUAGUAAGUCAUUACCAGGUUGACUAAAUUGCAUUUUAAUGGCAUUAAAACUAAAGGUAUGUGCUUAGGGAUUGUGGUUAGUCGUUACCAUGAAACAGAGGAUAUUUUUAUAGUAAUAAGCUUUAUUGGCCUCCUUCAACUAGAAAGUGUUUUGUGUCGAGAGUUUAGGCUUAUUGGCCUUUAUCACUAGCUUGAUUACAACAGAAAGCUUAAUGCCUAUUUAUAGAGGGAACAAACCAAGUAGUAGAGUCGGUUAUUCUAGUAAACCGACAUUAACUUGUAAUUCCAACCACAUAUUGUAGCUUCAAUUAAGUUAGUGACUAGUGUUUAGGGAAUGCAUCCACCCACUUUGCAUUCUAAAUUAUUCUAUAAAAUUCAGCUAGCUUAUAGAAGUCUCCACCAAAUGUGCAUUAUUUUUCAACUCAUAAAUUGGUUCAAGACUUUUCAGCCUUAAUGACUUCAAGUUGUUGAAUAAGUUAUGAUCGAAGACGAUAAACUUGACUUCAAGUCAUUACAUUAAUGGAAGAGGAUCCAUGCUUAUGGAUACUGCCGAUUGCGUCUCUACCAUGUCCAUUUGAUGGGCUAGAGAGUGACUAUUUUGUUCAUUUGGGGAACCAAGACUUCUUUCAUGUUAAGACUGGCACUAAUUAUGAAUUUUACAAGAUUCAAUAUAUUUGUAUCACCACGUUUCAAAUUAUUUGUUCGGGAAGAUGGAAGACAUAUAAUCAAGCAUAAUCGCAAACAUAUAUCAUAAUUAAGCCUUUCAAUAUCUCACAUUACGAUACCGUCAUAGGCUUACAAGUAAACACGGCCAUAUGCCAUAAUUUAAUAUUUGCCUGCUACAAUUGAUCGAUCACAUGGCCUUAGCUUUUCCAUGUUAUUUUCAAUCUCACCCGCAAUUUCAGUUCGGAAGGGUAGGUAGUGGUAGUGUUUCAUUUUAUGACUCCAAUUGUCCAAGUUGGCCCCUUAUUACUCGAUAGACAUAUGGUAUGUGAUGCUGUUAAUUUAAUUCUGAAAAUUUCUUCGUCAUGUUUCGAUAAUAAAUAAAUAAAUAAAUAGAUUAAAACACAAGUAUCAUCUUUGUGCUUUUUAUUUGCACAUUAUUUAUGGUUAGCAAUUUGAAUGGUUCGCAGCAAAUCAAAUUGCAUAAACGUCAUUUGUAUGAGCCUCCUUGUGUAAAACUUUUCAGCCUCAAUGGCUUCAGCUGAUAAACAUGAAAUAAAUAUAUUAAAACCAGUGAGGUAAAUUAAUUAAUGGAAAACUUUAAAGACUUUGAAUGGUUAGCUUUGGAAGACGAUAAACUUCUGUUCACCUUCUAUAAAAGGAGUUUAUAAUUUCUCCACCCUUAAUUGUGUGAGAGCCAUAAUUAAGCAUACAUAAUUACAAAACAAAAUUGCAAUGGGAAUGGAAUCGUGGCUGUCCAAGUUCAUUUCUCUACGUUGUUUUAUUUUUCUGUCACUCAUUGCUACUCACUGUUUUUUAUUUGUGUAGACUCAGGCACUUACCCAGGUUGAUGAAUGCUCAGCCUUGCUGCAGUUCAAGGAAAGCUUUGCAAUUAACAAGUCUGAUUCUGCAGAUCCUCUUGCUUAUCCGAAGGUUUCAUUUUGGACGCGAGAAGGAGAUGAGAAUCGGAGUACUUGUUGUUCAUGGGAUGGUGUUGAAUGUGAUGAGGAGUCUGGCCAUGUUAUUGGCCUUGACCUCCGUAGCAGCUGUCUCCAUGGUUCUAUCAAUUCCAGCAACAGUCUCUUCCGCCUUGUCCACUUGCAGAGGCUUGACCUCUCAGAUAAUCACUUCAAUUUCUCUCAAAUACCGUCAAGAUUUGGUCAUGAUCUUUCGAAGUCUAACAUAUCUCAACCUUUCAAAUUCCUUAUUCUCUGGCCAAAUUCCAUCAGAAAUUUCAAAGCUAUCAAAGCUGUCUACCCUUGAUCUGUCUUUCAAUGGUCCGAAAUUUGAUGCUUAUGGUAUCCCUUUGAAAUUGACCAAGGGCAACAUGAGAAGCCUGGUUCAGAACUUGACCGCCAUAAAACAACUUCAUCUUAAUUGGGUAGAGAUGUACUCCACUGUGUCUGAUAUCUUGGUCAAUGCAUCUUCUCUAACGUCUCUCCGAUUUGGCUAUUGUGAGUUGAAUGGGGAAUUCCCAGUAGGCAUCUUCCACCUACCAAACUUAGAGGUUCUGGAUGUGAAAGGUAACUCAAACCUUACCGGUUAUUUCCCUAACUUUAACAUGAGCAAUAAUAAUUCUAUCAGAAACCUCCAUUCCUUAAAUUUGUUGGACAUCUCUCGCUGUCAUUUUUACCCCCUUGUUCCAUCUUCACUCGGAAACCUUACCCAGCUCAACUACCUUGACAUGUUUUUAUUUAAUGACAUUCCAAAUAAUAAUUCCACAGGCCAAUUAGUUUCUGAAUAUUCCUUGUCUUGGAUAGCAAGUUUAACCAACCUCUACAGUUUGUCCCUUGGGGAAAAUUCCCAAGUUUUGUGGCUAACCUCACGCAACUUUCAUUUCUAUACUGGGAUAAUGACGAAUUAACUGGUCAAAUCCCAUCUUGGCUUAUGAAUUUGACCCAGUUAACUACUCUAUCUAUACCUCCCGGGUAACAAUUUGCAAGGAGCAAUUCCUAGGUCACUCUUCCAGCUCCAAAAUCUUGAAAUUCUUGACCUUUCCUCUAAUAGCUUGAGUGGACAAGUUGAGUUUGAUCAGUUUUCCCAGCCCAAAAAGUUAAUGGAACUUCAAUUAUCAUACAACAAGUUAUCUCUGCUGAUCAUAACCAAUUUGAGUGCUACUGUUCCACAGCUUGAACUUCUAGAUCUCCAGACCAAUAUGUUACAAGGAUCACUGGCAAUUCCACCACAAUCAAUCAGAAACUAUAUGGUCGGCAGCAAUCAUUACAGUGGAGAAAUUUCGCCCUUGUUCUGCAACUUGAAUGAUUUGCACAUUCUUGAUUUGUCCAACAACAGCCUGAGUGGCAUGCUUCCACAAUGUUUGGGGAACUCCAGUGCUCUUGAAAUAUUGAUGCUGAUGAACAAUUCAUUUCAUGGCAGUAUUCCUCAAAUAUGUCCAGUCGAAAAUAGUUUGAAAAUGGUUGAUUUGAGUUACAAUCAGCUACAUGGAAAAGUACCAAGAUUAGAGUUUCUUAACAAUCAUAUGCGCGACAUCUUCCCAUUUGGUUAGGGGCACUUCCAGCACUACAGGUUCUCAGUUUGAGGUCUAAUGGAUUUCAUGGCAUGAUUGGGAAGUAUGCAACUAACCAUGACUUCCCAAAGUUGUGCACCAUUGAUUUAUCUGACAAUGGUUUUUCAGGUGUGUUUCCCUCUAACUACUUAGAGAACUGGAAUUCCAUGAAAUUUGUUGACGCGAGCCAGCAAACUUAUUUUCAAGUCAACUCAGCUAAAUAUACGGCUCCCUUUGCUUAUCCAUACUCAAUCACAACUUGGUGUUGAGUUGAAAUUUAUAUGGACCCCUUAUCUUCUUAGAUUUAUAGAUUUCUCAAGUAAUAGAUUUGAAGGAGAGAUUCCAGCAGGUGUCAUUGGGAAUCUAAGAGGCCUUCUUUUCCUUAACCUUUCCAACAACGCUCUCACUGGUCUCAGCCCAUCAUCUUUAUGGAACUUGACGGCUCUUGAAUCGUUGGAUCUCUCCCGAAACCAGCUCUCAGGAAGGAUCCCCGGUAAUUUGGCACAACUCACUUUCCUUGAAUAUUUCAAUGUAUCCUAUAACCAUCUUGGGGGUCCUAUACCACUUGGCCAACAAUUUGGUACAUUCCUAGAAGAUUCUUACCAAGGAAAUUCAGGUCUGUGUGGAAAGCCUUUGUCAAAGAAAUGUGAUAGCUCAAUAUUGCUACCACCAUCAAUCUUUGAAGAAGAUGAAGAUUCCGGGUUUCAAAUUGCACUAGAUUGGUAUGUGGUUCUGCCAGGAGUUGUUAGUGGUCUAAUAGUUGGAGUGGUUGCUGGGAACUUUUGGACAAGCAAGAAUCAUGAAUGGUUUUUAGAGAAAUUUAGCAGGAAGAGGCAGCCAAGAGGCACACGGGGAAGGAGAGGACACAGAAACUAAGUACUUAAUUUAAAUCCAUGUUUAUCUUGCAGCUGCUGCUGUUGUUGUUUAGAAUUCUUGUAUGGGGUCUGGUGCAUUCUGUUUUAUUACAGUAAGGGUGGUGGGUGGUGCUGUAAGUUGCUUGUAUUAAUUUGUACAACAAUUUUUGUAAUAUGUUUCUGUACAAACUACAUUUUCUGUUUCCUGUUUGCUUAGUUUCUUUGAUUUCUUGUAUUGUUGUUCUUAAUUCAGUACCCAAUAUUUGGAUGCCUAAUGCUUACUUUGCAGCCAGUAUAUGUUGCUACUAUCAACUUCUAGUAAUUUAAUUUGCCAACUCUCUUGAGGUUCUUCUCUGUCCUUCUCUGCCUUCUCUGUUCUCUUGAUUCUUAUUAAGAAAGACAUGAUGUUAAAAUGCUGAAGCCAAAAUUUUACUUGCAUUGCUGCCUUGAGUUACAAAUGUGUGUGUGUGAGAGAGAGAGAGAGAGAGAGAGAGAGAGAGAGAGAGAGAGAGCAACUUUUCAAGAAAACCCAAAACAUGAUAAACUCUUUGGGCCAUAGAUCUGAGUGCCAAUGGUAGGAGGAAAUUCUAUGUAAUAUAAUACAACAAAUGACAGAAUAUGUUGCUAAUAUUGACUGGCUACAAAUUACAUUUCCCGUUUCAUGUUUGCUUAGUUUGUUUGAUUUUCUGUAUUCUUGUUCUUAAGUACCAAAAUUUUGAUGCUUAAUUGCUGACUUUGCAGCCAGAAAUUUGAGUUCUUGGAUCAAUUUGAGGGUUGCUCUUGCUAUCAACUUUUCAAUUAUUGAAUCACCCAGCUGGGUCUUAAUUAAAUGCCGAACAAAGAAAAUGGAACCGGAGAAAGGGACACGAAGACCCACUAACCUUGACGAAGGCAGAGGAUGAAGAAAAAGGUGGACAACGAGCCCUGACUCUGCUUCACUGAGACAUCGUAGGAAUUGCAAUCUGAGACUCCCAAGCAAUCAUCGUGGUUUGUGUAUCAAAUUUGGAUCCCAAAUAAUGUGCCAUUUGACACAUCAUCACUUUUAAAUUAACAUAAUUUCAAACAUGUAUUUAGGAGUCAUUAAUUUCUUUUUUUAAAAAAGUAAACAAAUCAUUUGGGACCACUGGUUAAUUAAAUAAAAUGAUUUAUUUACUUUUAUAAAGAGAGGAAUUCUGUUCCAAAAUGAUUUAUUUAGGAGUCAAGUCUUCGAGAGAUUGAUCAGCUGAUUUAAUUAUUCAAGCAAUUCCUAAUCUCCUUACUUUUUGGCCUUUGGUUACCUAAUAUCUUUUCAAUUAUCAUACUUUAUUUAUCACCCCCUCCUCCCCUCUUUUUUGAUUAUUUUGCAUGAGUUAUUGACUUGUGGUUGUGGAGAUCGAAUCUGAUUCAAAGCUGAUCAUUGAUAUGAUACGUGGCAAUCUUAGUGUGGAUGCUACUAUUGAGGGCCUGGUGUUUGAAAUUGGUUUGCUAGCACGAAGGUUUGAGCAGGUGACCAAGUACGCACCGCGUGAGGAAGUUGAGGUUCCACUCCAAAAUUAAUCAGCAAUGGAGGAAAUAGCCCAAUUCCUUAUAAGUCUUUGCUAGGUUCUCAACCUUCUAAUGUGAGACUUUUUACCUUCACAUUCUUACACGCCCCUGCGAGUGUAGCAAAUUUCAAGCUUAAUAGGUGGACAACGCAUAUUGGGUGACGUGGAGCACAUGUAGCCAUUGAGCUUUCACAUGUGGGCUAACCCGCUCUAAUACCAUGACGAAGUUAAGGUUCCACCCCAAAACCAAUUGGCAAUAAGGAGAGUAGCACAACUCCUUAUAAGUCAUUGCUAGGUUUCUCAACUUUCCAAUGUGAGACUUUUUACUUUUACAUUCUCAUAUCAUGCAUCAGUAACCGAGCUGCCCAUGAGGUGGUGUCUUUUGUUACUAGAAAUGGAGGGGUCCAAUGUCCAUAGUUGGGAUUUGUUGUGGCCUGAGUGGCUUUUUCAUAUUUUGGCAUCUGAUGUAAACGUUGUUGUUCGUCUUUGAAUAAAGUUCUUUGGCAAAUAUAUAUAUAUAUAUUACAUGCAAUCUAAGUAGGUUUCUCACAUACACGAACACAACAAAGAUGACAUGGAAGUUCGAAUUUGAUACUUCUUGUCUGCAAAUCAAGGUCCUUUUCCACUUGCCUAACCUCCUCAGGUUACAAAAUUACACUAACACCCCUUAAGGUUUUAAAUUAUUUUCACAAAACUCUCUAAAAAAAAAGUGGUAACGAUAACAAGGAUACAUCUUAUGCAUCUAAUAUUUAUACUACAAUUCAUGAGGAACUUACUGAACUCGAAUCUCAAGUAAUUGAACAAUGUGUUUGAUUUGAUAAUUAUUUAUAUUUUGUACUUCUUUGUGUUAUAUUUGCUCAUAAUGUGGCAUUGUUUGAUUUAUAGAAUUUUAUUUACAUUUUUGUUUCAAGAGAAAAAGGCUUAUAAUAUAUCUCUUGUAAAAAAAUAAAAUUUAACCUACCUCUACAAAAAUUUAUGGGUUUGUCAUUGUUAGAACUCGAACCCACGACCUUUCAUGGGGGAGCAUAUACUAAACUCACACACACUACAAGGAUGCUAGAACUCUAACACAUGACCUUUUGUGGGGGAACACACUAAACUUACACACACUAUACGGAUACUAAAACUUUAACCCAAAACGCUUGUUGCACUUCACAUUUACUCAAGGUAAAUCCAUGAAAUAGAAAAAUAUCUUUGCAUUGGAUGGUUCAUCAGUGACACAUGAAUGUUUUAAUAAUGGGCCAUCUCAAUAGCUCGCUUUCACCGGUCGGUAACCGUCUACCAAGCUAGACUGACCUUUAAUAGCUUGACUUAAAUGAAACUAAGUAAAGUCGCCAAAGGAGAAGAAGGAAGCAUAGAAGGCCAACGUUUGAUGUAUUUAAUAGAUGGUGUGUAUGAACUUUGACUCAAGUUGUGAUUAUGGUAAAAUGAAAAGUGGGUUCAGUAUAUCACGAAUGUGUGCACAAAAUAGAUUGAUGUUGUGUCUAUAAAAGGAGUUUAACUUUUCCACACUUUAUUAUGAGAGAGCCAUAAAGCAUACAUACAUACAUAAUAUAUCAGAAAUGAUCAUUUCCAGAGGAAUGGAAUCGCGGUGCUCAAAAUUUAUUUCUGUGCGCUGUCUUAUUUUGCUAUUACUCAUUGCUACUCAUUGUUUUCCACUUGUGCAGACAGUAUGGACAGUUGGCCGCGUUGAUGAGUGCUCUGCCUUGUUGCAGUUCAAGCAAAGCUUUUCGAUUGAAGAGUCUGCUUCUGGGGAACGUUUGUCUUGUGCAAAGAUUGCAUCUUGGACUCAACAUGGUGGAGAGAGGAGUAACUGUUGUUCAUGGGACGGUGUCGAGUGCGAUGAGGACUCUGGCCAUGUUAUUGGUCUUGACCUCCGAAGCAGCUGUCUUCAUGGUUCCAUCAUCUCCAGCAGCUCUCUCUUCGACCUUGUUCACUUGCAGAGGCUUGACCUUUCAGAUAAUGACUUCAAUUACUCUGGAAUACCAUCCAGAUUGGGUCAUGAUCUGACUAGUUUAACAUAUCUCAACCUUUCAAGUUCAGUCUUUUCCGGUCAAAUUCCAUCAGAAAUUUCAAUGCUCUCCAAGUUGUCUACUCUUGAUCUGUCUUCCAAUGUUUUUAAUGGUAACAGUUUAAAAUUGACGAAGACCACCCUGGGAAGCCUGGUUCAAAACUCGACCAACCUAAAACAACUUCAUCUUAGUAUGGUAGAGAUAUACUCCACUGUGCCUGAUAUCUUGGUCAAUGCAUCUUCU
RNAcentral lists this long non-coding RNA (12496 nucleotides) under Prunus persica (peach). RNAcentral describes it as "long non-coding RNA (PPER_LNC003803)". The record is from RNAcentral. Lineage: Eukaryota; Viridiplantae; Streptophyta; Magnoliopsida; Rosales; Rosaceae.